Molecule: long non-coding RNA, 806 nt
Organism: Betta splendens (Siamese fighting fish)
Lineage: Eukaryota; Metazoa; Chordata; Actinopteri; Anabantiformes; Osphronemidae
Exons: 3
Source: RefSeq, a predicted model, not a curated record
GCAGGCCGCACACGGCGGCCGUGGAGCGGCCCACGCCGGCGUUACAGUGGACGUAGACGCAGUGGCCGUUCUCCAGGAGGCCGUGGAGCAGGAACACGGCCUGCGGCAGCAUCCUGACCCGACCUGCGGAAGAAGAGUCGCCUGGCCGAGUGGGUGGCAGUAGACGCCGUCCACCACGUUCUCCUCAUCAAACGAGCACCGCCUGUCGUGGCUCGGGCCGUUGCCUGGUGACAAACAAGAUGGAGUCUGCGCAGUAACCGCUAACAGACACCAGGGGUCAGGAUUGCACCGCUUUUUCUACCACGUGUCGGUAACGUUGACUGCCCUUUGGUUCAUGAGGAAGACGGCGCGUAUUGAGGUCGAGGUCACCUACAGAACAGGAACCUGGAGCUGCAGAAGCUGACUCAUGGACACAUCAACAGGACUCAACACACUCGUGAUGACAUGUUCAAGCAAAACCGUCUGGACAGUGGGACCACCACCCUGGUUAGGCUCAGAAUCACAUAGAAAAUACUGGAAAAGAAGGUGAAAUGUUUUCUUAUAUUUAUUUAUUUGUUUAUUUCAAACUUGACUAUAUGCCUAAUGCACAUCCUCUAAUGGAAUAUUAAACAUAUGCAAAUUAUGUGCAUAUUUGUAUUGAAACCAAAAUUAGUGCAUGCCUGAACAAGACUUACAGUAUAAGAUUCCAAGAAUGAUGUCAUCCAUGGAGCUGUAAUUUAAGUGUUUAAGUGUUUGUUUGCGGUUUGCUUUUAAGCAGGUUUAUAGCGAUUAUCGAGCUUCUUAAAUAAAAGUAUAGGUUGUCAACA